UAUUAUACUAAUAGAUAAUAUAAGCCUGAAUUAUUAAUAGAUAUAUUCUUUAAAUUUGAAGAAUUUGGCGGUGAUUUAGUCUUGUUAGAGGAACCUGUUUUUGGAUCGAUACACCACGUAAAAUCUUGCUCGUUUUACUGUAGUUUAUAUACCGUCAUUAUCAGAUAAUUUUAAGAAAAUUAAUUAUUGGAAUUUAAAAUAAUAUAUUAAAUUAGAUCAAGGUGUAGCUUAUAAACGAGUUAAAAUGGGUUACAAUAAAACUUAUUUAUCACGGAGUAAUAGAAAAAGAAAAUGUUAAUAUGAAGGAGGAUUUAAUUGUAAUAGAAGUUUAAUAAGCUUAAAAGAUAUAAGCUCUAAAUUAU
This 362-nucleotide ribosomal RNA is filed under the name Pseudomedaeus distinctus. RNAcentral describes it as "partial 12S small subunit ribosomal RNA". The record is from RNAcentral. Lineage: Eukaryota; Metazoa; Arthropoda; Malacostraca; Decapoda; Xanthidae.